AAAACUCGGAGACUUAUCGCCCCCUUUCCUUCAGCCUCAAGCUCUGUUUUCAUUUUCUGCCCUACCAUUUCUAAUUGCGCUUCUUCCCACCAGCCAAAAUACGGGAAAUCUGCAGACCUCUGCUGAAUGCCUGGUUGAAGAGCAGCCUGGUCUGGAACUCGGAGACAAACGGGAACCAUGCCAGAAUUGCCACCGGUGUAAAGAUAACAAUCCCCAUCAUGUACUCGUACCCCCUCGCCAGUGCCUUCACCGAUCCCCACAGCCCCAGAGCCUUCACCACCGGCCUGCACGCCUGUGCUAUCUGAAGGAGAGCCCAUCCGGUUGGCAUGAAGGCGAGAAGGCUGGCAAAGAU
This 352-nucleotide unclassified non-coding RNA is filed under the name Hevea brasiliensis (rubber tree). The record is from RNAcentral. Lineage: Eukaryota; Viridiplantae; Streptophyta; Magnoliopsida; Malpighiales; Euphorbiaceae.